Molecule: non-coding RNA, 2749 nt
Organism: Cyanistes caeruleus (blue tit)
Lineage: Eukaryota; Metazoa; Chordata; Aves; Passeriformes; Paridae
Source: RefSeq, a predicted model, not a curated record
GAGCGCUGCCUGCGGGGGCGGACCCACCUCCGAGGAGGCCGCGCAGCUCCGCUGCUCCGGAGCCGGGUGUUUGUCACGGACAUCGGCCGCUUCUGGAGACUCAUCCCCGGGAGUCUGUGUGUUUACAGGAAAUAAACGACUUCUGAUGCAAGAAGCACGAUGAAAUUCGGUUGCCUUUCCUUCCGACAGCCCUACGCAGGGUUGCUUCUAAACCGAGUCAAAACGGUAGAGACUCGCUGGCGUCCUUUGCUAGCAGGCUACAAGAACUGCACCAUUGCUGUUCAUAUAGCUGUUAAGGACUGGGAAGACGAAACGUGGAGCGAAAUUCUGCUGAAUAGGUUCGGCAUGACAUCGAAACAACUGCAAGAUUUGUUGGAUGAAGGGGAAAAAUUUGGCAGAGGAGUUAUUGCAGGAUUAAUUGACGUUGGAGAGACAUCAUUAUAUCCAGAAAACCUGCCUCCUGAAGAGAUUCUGGAGCUGGAAAACAAAGCUGUCCUCAGCAAUCUAGAACAGAAAUACUUGACUGUUGUUUCAAAUCCCAGAUGGCUCCUGGAACCAAUUCCUGCCCGAGGGAGAACAGGGGUGUGGCAGGUGGAGAUCCCUGAAGAACUGAUCCCUUCAGAAUUUUAGGUGUUACCCCUUACUAUUAUUUUUCCUGCCUAAAUGUAGAUUUUUAUUUAAGUUGCUGACUUGUGAAUUACAUCAGUAUCUUGUUUAGGAUUCUAUUCCAAAACUAUUUCAAAUGGUAAAUAUAUUUGAAAAACUACUUUUUUGAUGCAAAGCAAACAAGAUGUAUCUUUAUGACUAUUACAGGAAAUUAUUAAUUUUUUCUACACUUUUCCUGUAUGAACACUGACAUUUUUAAAAUGUAUAGUUAUGGAUGGCCAAUUGAAAUGUAAAUGAUUUUUUGACACCUGCAUCUCUGAUUACAGGAAAAUGGUGCUUAAAAGCAGGCUGCCACAAUUAAUAAGACAUCUGUCCCAGACCAUCCUUGUCCUGCCUUAAGGAUAGAUUAUUUUCUUCGUAUUUCAGGUGAAAAAUACUAGUUAUCUUUGAAAACCUAAUACUGAAUUCAAGAGAAGUGUGAAGAAUUACAAAUAAUAGCUACUAAGUUUCAGGACUCUCAAGAGGUUUCCAAAACUUACAGCCUAUGUCAUGUUUUGGCUUCAUGACCUUGGACCUGGGCCAGGUAGGAGUGGUGUGGCUAAAUAACAGGAUGGGCUUGGCUGGGUGACCCAAAAAGUGAAACUGCUUUAAUGGCAAAAUAAUAAACGGCAGAAGGCAAACACACAGUACACGGUCAACCCCAAAAGGUGAAAAAAGGGUGGGUACAACAGUAUAUAUAUGGAAGAUCUGAGGGUGUAUCUAAAGGCAGGGUUCCAAUCACAGACUGAGAUUACAAAUACUAAAAAUAAUGUGGCAAAUGAUAACCAAUCAGGGGAGAGAACUAAGAACAUUCUGGAAGCAUAACCAUGAAUGAACAGGCUUGCUAACAUCCCCCAGUCUUAAACUGAUGCCCAACCAGUUCAAUCUCCACAACCCUACAUUAGGAGUAGUACAGUGAAAAUCCUUUUGAUUUUUUGGAGCAAGGCCACAUCUAGGCAUGGCUCUGAAAACAGAACAAGUGGCAGAGCCUUUGUAUUUAGACAGUUUACUUAAACACUUAGGAAACCAUUCUUUUGGACUACACCACUUCUACCAGAGCCAAAGAAAUUAUCUUGCACCACCAGCACCAGGGCUACUACCUGCAGCUCCACUGUUUGAACCACGCAUGGAACUGGGCAAAGACUGAGCUGCUCCCAGUACAGCUGGGAGAGGUGGGAAGAGACUGCAGGUAAGGGCUGGGUGAAGCAGAGCAGCUCCCUGGCCCCAGCCACACCCAGCUGUGCCUUGGCUGAAGGGAAGGCGCAGAGGAUGGAACUCAAGUGUGUUUGUUUGAGUGGCAGCACAUAGAGCUGUACAGGAACCACUGCCCUGGCACUGUGCUGAGGAGGUGAGGCCUUCCCCAUCGCAGAGCUGUGCAAUGCGUUCUCCUUUGGAUCUGAUGUACAUGGACUGUUCUCCUUCUGGGAAGUGGUUUCUCAUGCAAAGUCAGCAUCUGGUUUUCUUCUCCAUGGUAAUGUGCCAGCAAACUGAUGUCCAGUAACAAUCCCACUGAUGUUUAAUUUUUUUAACCAGAAUAUAAUAAAAUAUAUAGAAAUAAAAAUAUAAAAAAAUAUAUAGAAAUAAAAUUGCAACAAAAUUUAAACUGUGGGAUGGGAUAGUGAUGGGUUGGGUUUCGGGCAGUGGCUGAUCCACAGGCAAGAAAGGGGAGCUCAGGAGCAUCAGAAAUGGAAGUGCUGCAUCCAAUUUUUUCAGGCAUACACCUUAAACACAUGCAGAAAUGUCCACAUGCUCUCUGCUCUUACUGCCAUGCUAAAACUAAAGAAACAAGACACAUGGAUAUAAGCUGACUGUGGAUUACCUAAACACAGAGAGCAGAUGCAAGGGUUUGGGAAUAUGAGACAUCUGUUUUUAUAAACUACAGGACUACACAUUUCAUAGAGUCCAUUUCUCCAAAGCACCUUUAAGUCCAAGGCACACUGUCAAAGCAGGUCUUUCUUCAAGCAGGAAAGUGCUAUGCCAACACCAGCAAGAUCCUAUCUUGAAGAGUUUAAUCAUUUACACCGACCAACACAAAGAUGGUAAUGAAGACCAAGCUAUAUUUAUACCAGCUAGCCAACAGCUGUGAAACCUACCACAAAUGUUU